GAAGAACGAAAUUUUGUAAAAUUUAAGGUGAAUUUCAAAAUUGCAAAUUUUGAAUUUUUGUAAUGGGAAGUUGUGGAAUUGGUAAGCAAAAGAUGAAUAGUUUUAAGUUGAAAUGGGUUGAAUCGGUUGAAAAAAGUAGAACUUAGAGCAA
Long non-coding RNA from Syngnathus acus (greater pipefish), 151 nucleotides. RefSeq lists it as uncharacterized. The transcript is spliced from 2 exons. Lineage: Eukaryota; Metazoa; Chordata; Actinopteri; Syngnathiformes; Syngnathidae. The record is from RefSeq and is a predicted model, not a curated record.